Molecule: ribosomal RNA, 253 nt
Filed under: uncultured bacterium
Lineage: Bacteria
Description: partial 16S ribosomal RNA
Rfam family: Bacterial small subunit ribosomal RNA
Source: RNAcentral
UACGGAGGGGGCAAGCGUUAUUCGGAAUUAUUGGGCGUAAAGGGCGCGUAGGCGGCUUUUCAAGUGACGGGUGAAAUCCCUCGGCUUAACCGAGGAACUGCCUGUCAGACUGGAAGGCUUGAGACCGGGAGAGGUGAGUGGAAUUCCCAGCGUAGCGGUGAAAUGCGUAGAUAUUGGGAGGAACACCAGUGGCGAAGGCGGCUCACUGGACCGGAACUGACGCUGAGGCGCGAAAGCGUGGGGAGCAAACAGG